UCACAGUCGAAGGGGAGCUUGGUAAAAUACUGGAGACACUGAAACGAAAAACAUAUAAAAGCAGUUCGGAGUAGAUAGAAAGAGUAAGGAGAAUCCUCGCUGGGGAAAAGCUUGGCCCUUUGAAUUGUAAUAUAUUCUGGGAAUUGUCUCAAUAGCGUUGGUGGUUCAGAGGUCAAGUUUUUGCCUACAACGCGGGAUACUCAGACCUCUGUCUCUUCAGGACCAUUCUAGCCCAAGGCCCCAGAGGCCAGUCUCAGGUGCCAGACUUCACAGGGCCAGCUCAGCCACCAGAGGGUCAGAGGAGACCCAGGGGGACAGAGGAGAAUGGGGGGCCCUGGUCAACAUGGAACUUCUUGGGUUGCCUAACAUUGGCAACACUUGCUUCCUAAACGCCACCCUGCAGUGCCUCCUGGUCCUGCCUUCCUUCUCAAAGGAAAUCCUAUGCCAGGAACAACUCUGGAACUCCUCCCCCUUCUCCAACCUGCUCAGGUGUCUGUCUGAUGUGCACCGUUCGGGUCUACCUGACAGUGGUGCAAACCAGGCCUCAAAAGCAGACCUCAUGUGGAAGGUCAAGUACUCCUUGUCGGGAUAUGAUUUGAAGUAUCUUGGGGACACGCAACAGGACGCAUACGAGUUACUUGUGAAUAUGCUGUGCCAGCUGAAGGAGAAGGGCAUGAUAGUGAAGAUGCUCGGAGUGAACUAUACCUGCCCUGUUUCCCAACUGGAGUUCCAGCUUGCGUCAGUGCGCACAUGUACCAGUGUGCUGAUUCUGCAUCUGAAGAGGUUUGGAGGACCUGGGGGGUUGGAGAAGCUGGAGACUCCUCUUUUGUUUCCUUCGGAGCUGAGGCUCUCCACCUUCUGUGGGGACACGGUGCCACCCCUGCACAGUGCCAGCCCAUAGGCCCUCACCAACCAGACCCUCGCCAGCAAAGUACCCAGCCCACCUGGAGAGGCCAAAGAUAGCGACCUCUGCUGUUCAGAUUCAAAUGACCAGGAACCAGGGAAAGUGCUGUGGACAGCCUCAGUGGUGAGGAGAGAUAGAGAGUGAAACCAGUGAAAAAUAAGUUACGACAGAACACUGAGAUUGUUAUGAGGAGUACACAAUAUAGUAGACCUCCCGCAGUAGACUAGUAGUGUAGUGGACUGUAAGACAGUGUGGUGGACUGUAGCGGAAAUGAGAAUCCAAUGAUCACAUGUGUUCUUACUGAAGAAGCAGCCAGUGAAGUCAGUGAAUGGCUACUACCAGCUGACGCGGGAGGCUCCGCAAACUCCGGGCACUACAUUAGUGACAUCUUGAAUGCAAGUGGAAACUGGUUCUACUGUAACCACAGCCAGGUCUCAAUGUACAAUGAAGCCACUGUGCUGAGGACCAGAGCCCAGAGUGCUUACCUGCUCUUCUAUUUGUUCAGAGCAGGAGAGGAGGCCCCAGCACACAGGGCCUAACAGGGCCACCAGUCCCAGCCUCAACAGGUGCAGCACUUGGACCAGCCUCAACAGGGGUAGUUCCAGGCCCAGACUCAACACCCUCAGACCUGCCUCGACAGGGGUAGAACCAGGCCCAGUCUCAAAACCCCCAGCCUCAACAGGGGCAGCACUGACCCAGCCUCACAUCCCCAGCCCAACCUCAACACCUCCAUGUUUGCCCCUCUUCAUGUUUUUCCCUGACAACAUUCCCACUGUUGUGUAAAAGGAAAAGAAAAAUAACUUAAGGAAUCGGACCUCCAACCCCCCCUACAAAAAAAUGAUGACUGGUCUGUCAAUCAUGCGGCUCAAGGGAGACUUGAUCUUCAACACAAGCAUGAGCAUCCUUUUCAGUAACAUAUGUCAUAAAUAUCUGCCCUUGUUUUGACUACUUCACCUAAUCUAUAAAGCGGAUGUAAAAAAUAAAGUAUACACACUAAAUGUAGAACACAUGUAAAUGUGGGGGAUAGAGUCUCUGAUUAUUUAGAGGGAAUAAAAUACCUUCUAUUUGAAAUCCUCCUGUUUGGAAAUACACUGUGGUGUAUAACCUUAUUCAGCAAGGUCACACCGGAUCCACUGCGAUAUUCUACAUUGAUCCAGAUCCCCAGGAUAUUGGGAGAUUACUUGUGCAUGUCAUGCAAUUUCAAUAAAGAAAAACAAACUGAAGAUAAUCCAAUUGAAGAUAAUUCUGUUAACCGUUCUAACUCUUUCAGCUCAGGAAGCUUUAUCGUCUGGGAUUCAGGCCGGUCCUAAUAGGGAGCUCAGAGAACAAGACUCUGCUAUGCACCAAUGGGGCCCGCUCUGGCUAGAGCAAGGCCCGCCUCCAACCCUUUGUGACCAGUCAGAAGACCAAAACGAC
Oncorhynchus tshawytscha (Chinook salmon) is the source of this 2320-nucleotide long non-coding RNA. Lineage: Eukaryota; Metazoa; Chordata; Actinopteri; Salmoniformes; Salmonidae. The record is from Ensembl.